GGCAUACAUCACAAGCAAAAUAAACGGUUCCUUGGCUUCUCUGCUUACCUAGCUGAAGGUCAAAUGGAUCUCUAGAAUCAAGGCCAGUUGGAGUACCACAAGGGGAGAACUCUCCUCUUUCCACUUGCUGUUGCUGCUAAUGCCUGUACUUGUCCGGAACUUUGCCUUUCUCUUUGUAAGGCUUCACCAGAACCCGCGCAUCGCAAACAAAAUGAGGAUUCCCUUUAGCCAGGAUGAUCUUCACGGUCUCAGGAUAAACAAAAGUGACAAAUCCAAACAUUCUCUUCUGUUGGUAUGGUAUCCUCACAUCUUGAACCGGACCAUAUGUACUUCAAAGGUGAAACAUAAUAGUUUUUAGCAUCAAAAGGUGAAUUUAAAAAAACUGCAACAACAUAGAAGUAGAGUGUUAAAACAAAAAACCUGAAGUAAUUUGACACAUCCUCCUCUCUGAAAGUGCUAUCAGCUGGGAAAGUCAAGUAGAUCUGUCUUGAAGCUGGGUUAACCAUGCCUGCUUCACCGUUCAUUGAAAACCCGUUUCUUUCAAGCCUGGAACGGUUAAACUUGUUCAUAUCGUCACCCAUCAUUAAAGCAGCAGCGGCUGCAGCCCUACAGUGUCAAACCAAAAUGAAAUCUUUCAUCAUUUCUACACACCAAAUAUCCAAGUGAAAACUAAAUCUUUAACCACAUAAUAGAUUGCACAAAGAGAAAGGACCAUGUACCUCUGAGUAUCAUUUUGUUGCUGUUGAAGGAACGAAUUCAUGCCCUUUGGGGAGUAAGGAAAAGAAGCAGAACCCAUGAGCUGUGAAGCAGCAGCCAACCUUUGUUGCUGAGCGGAUUUAGAUCUAAGUAACUCAUGGCACUGGUCCAGCUCGAUCUUGUUAGGUGAACCCACCAUGGUGGCACCAUCUGCUCCUCCAAUUACUGAACCAGACUCCCCAAGCCCACAAUGGAUAAAUCUACAAUUAUUCCCAUUUUUACAGUACCCCCUAGCAAAAUACAAGCAGGGUCUCCACCCAAACCCUGAAGCCGGGUCCUCAGCUCCCACAAUAUCGCUCACAGAGCUGCUCCUCCUGUGAAAGGAGGUCCCCCAAUAAGAGGGGAACCCCAUGGCGUCAGUGCUGCCACAAGCAGCAGCAGUAGCUGAACUCGAGGACAAGUCAGCGGGUUGGGGGUAAAAGAAAUCAUGGUUCUUGGGGUUAAGCUGUGGUGAGCUUUCGUUGAGGAAAGCUAGUUGAUCUUGAAGUUGAAACUCAUCAACCAUAUCAGUAGCUCCUCCGUUUCCAUAGAAGGGCAAAGAAGAAGGAUUUAAAGACCCACUGCUUGGACUAAUCAACUCAUCAGGGUUUGGAAGUUCGGACAAAGGACUCCAAGAAGAAGUACCAGAAGAAGUAGAGAGGUUAGUAGGGAUGGUGAGAGAAGAUGGCAGAUUGAUUCCACCGUUGGGUAGGAGCCUGGAAGCAGCAGAGCUUUGCCUUGGAAUAUUAACAGGAUUCGGGUUGUUGGCAAGGAAAGGAGAAGGAGAUGAUGGGGUUGAAGGUGUAGAAGGAGAGUUAGAAGGAAGACCAAGCUCUUUUUUGGCCUUGAGGAUGACAGACUGAAGUGAAGCUUCAGGACCAAAGGCUAAACGAAUCAUCUCCUUCUCCCCAUGGUCCUGAAUCAGCAGUAGACCCAUGAUUUUGGAAGCGUUUUCUGGUUCAAGGUUUUGGAUUCUUGAGAACACAAUUCUGGUUGCUUCAUAGCUAUCCAUAAUAGAAAGCGCACACACCAACCCCCCAGCACUGUCCAAACAACGUUCACUUGCUCUAUACCUUUUUUGCUCUUUUCUAGUAUGAUUUUGAGAGAGAGAGAGAGAGAGAUAAGUGUUUAGAGAGUAAGGUCUCUUACAAGUAAAACAUCUUUUCUCUCUAUCAA
Long non-coding RNA from Gossypium raimondii (Peruvian cotton), 1911 nucleotides. RefSeq lists it as uncharacterized. The transcript has 2 exons. Lineage: Eukaryota; Viridiplantae; Streptophyta; Magnoliopsida; Malvales; Malvaceae. The record is from RefSeq and is a predicted model, not a curated record.